UAAGGCCUGUACUACACUAUUGUACAUCUCCUGAAUGCAACUCAAGCACUUUAAUUAAGCUAAAGCCUCU
RNAcentral lists this transfer RNA (70 nucleotides) under Anolis sp. SBH266328. RNAcentral describes it as "tRNA-Ala". The record is from RNAcentral. Lineage: Eukaryota; Metazoa; Chordata; Lepidosauria; Squamata; Anolidae.